This 496-nucleotide ribosomal RNA is filed under the name uncultured bacterium. RNAcentral describes it as "partial 16S ribosomal RNA". It matches the Rfam family "Bacterial small subunit ribosomal RNA", at positions 29 to 507 of the family's 1533-position model. The record is from RNAcentral.
AUGAACGCUGGCGGCGUGCCUAAUCCAUGCAAGUCGAGCGAACGGACGAGAAGCUUGCUUCUCUGAUGUUAGCGGCGGACGGGUGAGUAACACGUGGAUAACCUACCUAUAAGACUGGGAUAACUUCGGGAAACCGUAGCUAAUACCGGAUAAUAUUUUGAACCGCAUGGUUCAAAAGUGAAAGACGGUCUUGCUGUCACUUAUAGAUGGAUCCGCGCUGCAUUAGCUAGUUGGUAAGGUAACGGCUUACCAAGGCAACGAUGCAUAGCCGACCUGAGAGGGUGAUCGGCCACACUGGAACUGAGACACGGUCCAGACUCCUACGGGAGGCAGCAGUAGGGAAUCUUCCGCAAUGGGCGAAAGCCUGACGGAGCAACGCCGCGUGAGUGAUGAAGGUCUUCGGAUCGUAAAACUCUGUUAUUAGGGAAGAACAUAUGUGUAAGAAACUGUGCACAUCUUGACGGUACCUAAUCAGAAAGCCACGGCUAACUACGUG